AAGUUUAAAUUUUUGUUUAAAGCUAGC
RNAcentral lists this unclassified non-coding RNA (27 nucleotides) under Phlebotomus papatasi. RNAcentral's name for it is "short intervening sequence". Lineage: Eukaryota; Metazoa; Arthropoda; Insecta; Diptera; Psychodidae. The record is from RNAcentral.